CCGAUGUGGCUCAGCUGGUAGAGCAACGCUCUCGUAAAGCGUAGGUCACCGGUUCGAAUCCGGUCAUCGG
RNAcentral lists this transfer RNA (70 nucleotides) under human gut metagenome. It matches the Rfam family "tRNA". From Rfam's summary of the family: Transfer RNA (tRNA) molecules are approximately 80 nucleotides in length. The record is from RNAcentral.